GGGGGCGUCACGGUUUCGACGGGGACAUUUGAAGUUGUAGAUGCGUACCGAGGUUCCUACAGGCCUCGUUAAAUAGGUAGGAAACAUAUAAUCGCAGACAACUACGAUUACGCUUUAGCCGCUUAAGACGGCUAACGUUCUGCCCGGUUUUCCUGUUGGCUGGAACAGAACGUCAUUCAGACAGGAUAGCCAAACUUUUUUCCUGGGGAAGCGAGGCGAAAUACUUUCAGGAUAGCGCGGUGCGAUCCGGCCUUAGGGAGCAAUCCGGCGCGAAUUUAAAUCUGAGGCUAUGUGCGUAGAUUCUCCAGCGGAAGGUUUUCGGACGCGGGUUCGACUCCCGCCGCCUCCACCA
This 352-nucleotide transfer-messenger RNA is filed under the name Deltaproteobacteria bacterium. It matches the Rfam family "transfer-messenger RNA". Rfam says of the family: Bacterial tmRNA, also known as 10Sa RNA or SsrA, is named for its dual tRNA and mRNA-like properties. Its role is to liberate the mRNA from a stalled ribosome. Lineage: Bacteria; Pseudomonadati; Myxococcota; Myxococcia. The record is from RNAcentral. RNAcentral also lists the same sequence under 1 other name.